This 112-nucleotide transfer RNA is filed under the name Pedobacter segetis. RNAcentral's name for it is "Pedobacter sp. SD-b tRNA-Asp". Lineage: Bacteria; Pseudomonadati; Bacteroidota; Sphingobacteriia; Sphingobacteriales; Sphingobacteriaceae. The record is from RNAcentral.
UGUAGGGUGGUGAAAUUGGCAGACACACCUCCUUGUCUCGGUGGCGAAGAUUUGGGAAAUAGCCGCAAGGUGAAAUAACUGCUUCGUGUAGGUUCGACUCCUACCCCUACAG